RNAcentral lists this ribosomal RNA (492 nucleotides) under uncultured bacterium. RNAcentral's name for it is "partial 16S ribosomal RNA". It matches the Rfam family "Bacterial small subunit ribosomal RNA", at positions 30 to 507 of the family's 1533-position model. The record is from RNAcentral.
AUUGAACGCUGGCGGUAGGCCUAACACAUGCAAGUCGAACGGCAGCACAGUAAAAGCUUGCUCUUACUGGUGGCGAGUGGCGGACGGGUGAGGAAUACAUCGGAAUCUACUUUUUCGUGGGGGAUAACGUAGGGAAACUUACGCUAAUACCGCAUACGACCUACGGGUGAAAGCAGGGGAUCUUCGGACCUUGCGCGAUUGAAUGAGCCGAUGUCGGAUUAGCUAGUUGGCGGGGUAAAGGCCCACCAAGGCGACGAUCCGUAGCUGGUCUGAGAGGAUGAUCAGCCACACUGGAACUGAGACACGGUCCAGACUCCUACGGGAGGCAGCAGUGGGGAAUAUUGGACAAUGGGCGCAAGCCUGAUCCAGCAAUACCGCGUGGGUGAAGAAGGCCUUCGGGUUGUAAAGCCCUUUUGUUGGGAAAGAAAAGCAGCAGGUUAAUACCCCGCUGUUCUGACGGUACCCAAAGAAUAAGCACCGGCUAACUUCGUG